Molecule: long non-coding RNA, 796 nt
Filed under: Nicotiana benthamiana
Lineage: Eukaryota; Viridiplantae; Streptophyta; Magnoliopsida; Solanales; Solanaceae
Description: long non-coding RNA (NBEN_LNC034779)
Source: RNAcentral
UGGUACAACAAGCUAUAGGUCUGUAAUCUUUUACAGUAGCUGCAGUUUUGCUUUUAGGUAUUAAAGUUUUAGCAGUGGUAUACAACAUAGGAGGCAUUGUGCACUUGUCGAAGAAAUCCUUGACAGCAGCAAAGAUAUCUUCCUUGAUUGUAUCCCAAUUCCUGUCAGAAAACUCCACUGGAAAUCCAUCUACUCUAGGUGCCUUAUCCUUUGGCAUUUCCUUAAUUGCUGCAGUGACUUCCUCCAUAGUAGCUUCCUGAAUCAGCAGUGUUUGUUGACGUUGCUGCAGUGAAUUCCUCCAUAGUAACUUCCUGAAUCAGCUGUGUUUGUUGACUCAUUGAUAAGCAUUUCCCUUGUCUAAUUAUAGCAGUAUUAGCAAGAAGUAUCUCCCUUUCACAUUCUCCCAUCAAUGGCUGGAAAACAGUGAUGAACUCCUGUUCUACAUCUUCUGGUUGUGUUAACUUUACUCCUGUAAGCGUUGGAAGUUUUGAUUUUCCAUUGGGCAUGAAAGUACUUUGUAUUUUCAUCACCACAGGUGAUCCAAGUUGCUUUGGAUUUCUGCCUCAACACCUGUUCCUCCACAGCACUCCAUUUUUUCAAUUUCCUGUAGAGUUGUUUUUUCUUCAGCAAAUAAAACCUGUGAUAGAAGGUUAGUCUGCAGCUGAUUCUGUAUGAUGUCCAGGUGUUCUCUGGCCUGCACAAGUCUCUUUUUGUAAGUGGCCAUAUAGGCAUUUAAUUCUUUAAGAUGCUCUUUUAGACACUUAAGCUUCCUCCAAACCUGCUGCAUAGGAGUCCC